UAACGUUUUAAAAAUCGAUGAGCAAGUAAUAACCUUUUGAAAAGCUGAGCGACCAUUCAUUAAAUUAACUCACAUAAACCUUCCCUUCUUCUUCCCUCGGUUCCUGACGUUUCUUUUAGUUUUUACCUUUGCCUCUCAUUUUCCCCCAAGUUUACCUAUCAUUUUCCCCAUCUUCACUUCUUUAAGAAACAACACAGCAGAAUAAGUCGACAGCAAAAAUUCACAAUUUGAAGAAAAAGACUAGUCUUUUUAAGCAUUCCUCAUAGCAGAAUUCUGUUUAUUAAUUCAAUUGCAUUCAUCUUCCUACAGGUUAAGAUACUGAAUUUUUGUUUUGUGGGUUAUUUGACUGUGAUGAUUUUUUUUUAUUUGUUCUACAAUUGUUUGCAUUUUGUAUGUGGAUCGAUUUUUUAGGCCUUUUAGUUCUUCAUUUUUACCUUUUUGGCUUCUUUUAUGGUAGAUUAUUUUGGUUAAUGUGAAAAUAGUUGUUUUUAGAUUUUUAUCUGGUUCUGAUUGAGAUGAAUAUUUUGAUUUUUAUAUCACCAUUUAGCUUGAUCUACUUUACCAUCUCUGUUUAGCUAAACUGUUAAUCGUUUCUGCCUGUUUUGAGUCUGUAUCGUUAACAUUUUUUAUUUUAUUUUUAUUUUUAUUAUUAUUUUUUUUUUUUGGGAAUGAAUCGCUGUUAUACACGUGUUUUGGUAUUGAUUAUGAUUCGCUAAAUAUUACUCAAUAAGAAACUACUUGAAUGAGUAGAUUUGGUGUUCCCCCAGUCCCUAUAUUUACAUUUAUAGUGCUGAUUUAUGAUAUUAAUUUUUUUGUUUUUUGUUUUUUAACUAGAUUGUAGUUGAUCAAACAGAACCCGGCAACAAUUUCGAGAUAUUUUUCUUAAGCUAUGGUUCUCGGGCUGAGGUCAAAGCACAGAAAAAGUGCUUCUGUUAAAGUUGAGUACAUAGUGAACUUACAGGAGAUUAGGCCUUGGCCUCCAACAGAAUCACUGAGUUCCGUUCAAACCGUGUUGCUCCAAUGGGAAAAUGGUAAUAAAAAUUCAGGAUCCUUUAUUUCUGUUGCUGGGAAUACCAGUAUAUCGUUCAACGAGUCUUUCAUACUGACCUUUACUCUGCGCCAAGAUAAAAAGGCCCGUGAUAAGUUUCUUAAGAAUUGCUUAGAGUUCAGCUUGUUUGAGCCUCGAAAGGACAAGGGAAGUAAAGGGCAAUUAUUGGGGACAGCUUUAUUAAAUCUUGCUGAUUAUGGAGUACUUGAAGAAAUCAUAAGUAUUAGCAUUCCUUUAAACUUCAAGAAGAGUUAUAAGAAUUCAGUGCAACCAGCUUUGUUCGUAANUCAUGUAGCUUCCGUUUUAGCAUUCAUCCU
RNAcentral lists this long non-coding RNA (1365 nucleotides) under Olea europaea subsp. europaea. The record is from RNAcentral. Lineage: Eukaryota; Viridiplantae; Streptophyta; Magnoliopsida; Lamiales; Oleaceae.